GCCUGGGUAGCUCAGUAGGUUGAGCGUCUGACUUUGGCUCAGGUCAUGAUUUCACAGUUUGUGAGCUCGAGCCCCGCGUCAGGCU
Molecule: transfer RNA, 85 nt
Filed under: Felis catus (domestic cat)
Lineage: Eukaryota; Metazoa; Chordata; Mammalia; Carnivora; Felidae
Also listed under: 2 other names
Rfam family: tRNA
About the family: Transfer RNA (tRNA) molecules are approximately 80 nucleotides in length. Their secondary structure includes four short double-helical elements and three loops (D, anti-codon, and T loops). Further hydrogen bonds mediate the characteristic L-shaped molecular structure. tRNAs have two regions of fundamental functional importance: the anti-codon, which is responsible for specific mRNA codon recognition, and the 3' end, to which the tRNAs corresponding amino acid is attached (by aminoacyl-tRNA synthetases). tRNAs cope with the degeneracy of the genetic code in two manners: having more than one tRNA (with a specific anti-codon) for a particular amino acid; and 'wobble' base-pairing, i.e. permitting non-standard base-pairing at the 3rd anti-codon position.
Source: Rfam by way of RNAcentral